AACACUGAAUCUUGUCUAAGUAAUUAAAAUUAAAAAAAAAUUAUAAAGUUAUUAAAAAUAAAGUAAAAUAAAAAUAAAAAUAAAAUGAAAAAAAAUUAUUGUUGUUACAUAUAUUCAUAUAUCUUAUAGCCUAAAAAAAGAAACAAAACAAUUAAAACAAUAUUAUUCCUUUUAUUAUUUACACACCUUGUUUAAUUGUUUCAAAACCCUAUUAUUUGGUUUUCCAUUUUUAACCCUUAGCCUAAUGGCCCAAAAUAAUGCAAAACUCUUUUUACUUUCUCAUCAUACUAUUUUUCUUCUCACAUCUCACCCUCCACGUCACCCUCCACAUCACCCUCCACGUCACCCUCCACAUCACCUAUCUUUUUCAUCUACUAUAUUAAUCUUUUCAAACUAACUUUUCUAAUUUUCCACUUACCUUUUCAAAUUAUAUUUUAUCCACCUAAUUUUUAUAUUUUUUCUUUCACUUAUUUUCCACCAUAACAUUUUUUAUUAUAUUUUAUUUCAUCUAAUAUUAUUUUUAUUCAUCUAUUUUCUCUAUCUACAACUCUAUAAAUACUCACAUACUCUUCACUCCAUUUUUUACAAACACACACAUACAUUCAUAAUACACAUCUCUUCUUCCAUAUACCACAUAUCUUCACACACAAACCCCUUUCUUCUCUCCCACACCCACCCACCCACAUGCACGCACACACCCACCCACAUGCACGCGCACACACACAACCCAAAUAAAAUCUAGACUACUUUUCCCAAAAUACAAGGCCCAAAAAAAAUUAUUCUUACUUUACUAAAUCUUCAUGAUGACUUAAGAUGGCCCA
This 821-nucleotide long non-coding RNA is filed under the name Vigna radiata. RNAcentral describes it as "long non-coding RNA (VRAD_LNC015953)". The record is from RNAcentral. Lineage: Eukaryota; Viridiplantae; Streptophyta; Magnoliopsida; Fabales; Fabaceae.